GACGAACGCUGGCGGCGUGCUUAACACAUGCAAGUCGAGCGGUAAGGCCCUUUCGGGGGUACACGAGCGGCGAACGGGUGAGUAACACGUGGGUGACCUGCCCUCAGCUCUGGGAUAAGCCUGGGAAACCGGGUCUAAUACUGGAUAUGACUCCAUGACGCAUGUUGUGGGGUGGAAAGCCUUGUGCGGCUGAGGAUGGGCCCGCGGCCUAUCAGCUUGUUGGUGGGGUGAGGCCUACCAAGGCGACGACGGGUAGCCGGCCUGAGAGGGCGACCGGCCACACUGGGACUGAGACACGGCCCAGACCCCUACGGGAGGCAGCAGUGGGGAAUCUUGCGCAAUGGGCGAAAGCCUGACGCCAGCGACGCCGCGUGAGGGAUGACGGCCUGG
This 390-nucleotide ribosomal RNA is filed under the name uncultured bacterium. RNAcentral describes it as "bacterial SSU rRNA". It matches the Rfam family "Bacterial small subunit ribosomal RNA", at positions 28 to 419 of the family's 1533-position model. The record is from RNAcentral.